This 468-nucleotide ribosomal RNA is filed under the name uncultured bacterium. Its description in RNAcentral is "partial 16S ribosomal RNA". It matches the Rfam family "Bacterial small subunit ribosomal RNA", at positions 28 to 507 of the family's 1533-position model. The record is from RNAcentral.
GACGAACGCUGGCGGCGUGCUUAACACAUGCAAGUCGAACGGAAAGGCCCUGCUUUUGUGGGGUGCUCGAGUGGCGAACGGGUGAGUAACACGUGAGUAACCUGCCCUUGACUUUGGGAUAACUUCAGGAAACUGGGGCUAAUACCGGAUAGGAGCUCCUGCUGCAUGGUGGGGGUUGGAAAGUUUCGGCGGUUGGGGAUGGACUCGCGGCUUAUCAGCUUGUUGGUGGGGUAGUGGCUUACCAAGGCUUUGACGGGUAGCCGGCCUGAGAGGGUGACCGGCCACAUGAGGACUGAGAUACGGCCCAGACUCCUACGGGAGGCAACAGUGGGGAGUAUUGCACAAUGGGCGGAAGCCUGAUGCAGCAACGCCGCGUGCGUGAUGACGGCCUUCGGGUUGUAAACCGCUUUCGCCUGUGACGAAGCGUGAGUGACGGUAAUGGGUAAAUAAGCACCGGCUAACUACGUA